CAUUCAGCCGCCCCCUCCCUAUUAUUUCCCAUUUCCCCUAAUCCUUUUCAUUUUCUUUCUCUCAUCAUCUCUUCUCAGCCAUCCCAUCCCCUCUCUCCCUCCCUAUUUCAGAUUCCUCUUUCCAUAACGUAAGUUUUCCGCAUUUUAAAAAUGCGGCUAAAACCAUUUAGAUAUUUUCUAUCACACUUUCCCUUUUCAUUUUCUCGAGAAAAUCCCUGGAAUCGUUUGCGCUUUGAGCAAAAUCGUAUUGGGUAAUUUUUUUUAGGUUUUUUUUUUGUUUCCACUUUCAGUGAAAAUCUCAACGGUUCUAUAUAUAUAUAUAUAUAUAUAUAUAUAUAUUUGAAUUGAUUUUUGCCGAGUUUCAGAGGGGGUUUGAAUCCGUGGCAGAGAUCUAAGGGUUUUGUGGAGGAUCGAGAUUUUUGAAUUGGGUUUUGGAAUUUGUGGCAAAAUUAUUUAGGGUUUUGUGGGGUUUUUUUUUUGAUUGAGAAAGGUGUUAGAGAUGGGAAUUUUACUACCGAUGGCGUUGGGAAGCUGAGGGAGGUAGUGAAGGAGAAGCUGAUGGAGUUCACGGAUUUCAGCAAUGAUCAUGCGGCAGUCCUCGACGAAGGCCGUGACCUCAUUGUCAUACGAGAUGUUUCGGCCGAUGGAGCGGAACCAGUGCUCCUUGCGCUUCUGCUUGACCCACAUGAACCCGGUGGUGCGGUUGUAGCCGACCUCGACGACGUCGUCUAGAGGGAGGAGGCCUUUGGGGAGAGAGAUCUCACUGAGGAGAUCCUGAGACUUUUGCUUGCACAGCUCUUCGCCGUGGUAGAUCUCUGCUUGCUCUCUGUGGUUUGUGACUUCCUGUCUUGACAUUUUUUGUUUGAGAAUUUUGUUUUGUUGUGAUCUCAUCUGAGUGGGUCAGUGGUAUAUCAUAUAUACAAGGGAGUGGGUUGUGUUCUUUUGAGUGGUGUGGAGUGAGACAUGUGGUUUUUACAGUAAUGGGAAUUUUGCUUUUUUGGAAUCUGGGCAUGCUAGACAAUUUUAAUUAGAUGUGUAAUGGUUUGUUUAUCUAUUGGGUUUUGUGUGAACUUGACUUUGACUUUUUGGAUGAAGUAAGAUGCCAGGAAAAAGCAAGAGAAUUGAUGAGUCUAGUUUUACACUGCGUUUUAUUUUUUAUUAUUCUUACUAUUAUUAUUAUUAUUUAUGAACCAUUGCUUUUCUUUUGUUGUUCCUUGCUUUUACAAACAGGCAUAUUAUUGUAAAGGUGAGAUGAAGUAUUUCUAAAUUCAAAAUUAGGUCUUUUAAAUGCUUCUCUUUCAUGGAAAUUUUAAAUAAGGGAAUGCUAGAUAGGUUUUGCACAUAUUAUUGCUAGUAUAAUUUCAGCUUUUUUCACUUUUUAAAUCAUUUGUCAAUGAUAUUUGUAUAGACAUGAUUCUUCUUUUUUUUGUCCUUUCCAUGGCUGGUACUGUAUCAUUAAAUGUGAUUUUGAUUUUAGCUCAGGUGGCUUAGUUUACAAGUAGUUCCUGCUCAGAUUUUAACUUGUGGGAAAACAAAGGAAUGCAUUUUUUUUUAAUUCAAUUUUGCAGAAUAAAGGCAGUAUUUUUUGAAUUACAACUAUUCUAGUCGAAGUGUUUUGUAUCAGCAGUGACUUAGACAUACUUAGGGUGCUUCUGCAACUAUGUUUUGACCUUCAAAAACAUAUGUAACUUACCAAAAAAAAAAGGGUUUUUACCUACUUAUAAGUUAGCAUUGAAAUGGAACAAGUUUGGUACAAUCAUGGUUUCGGAGAUGCUUUCCUCCUUAAAGACAUUGAGGUAGGAAACAAACUGAUACUUGUUUCCAAAAGCGCAAUUGACAUUUAAAUACUGUUUUGUACUUUUCAUAAAACAUUUUGUAUGCUGAGCUUGAUAGAGACAGAAACUCUAAAUCUUUAGUCUAUGUCUUCAAUGGUAUUUCAAUUCAAGGUAAGAAGGUUUCAUUAUUCAAGGGUUACCGUUCAUUUAACUGCAUGAAAAGUAUACAUUUUUGUUAUUUUUUUCAGUAAUUAAUUUACUAAUUGAACUUAGAGGCCAUUUUAAUGCAGAAAUACCUUCUUUAGUUUAUUGUGUGUGAGUUUUAGUGAGUUUCUUGUUGCUGUUCUGGAUAAGAAUUCAUUUUUGUAUAUAUAUAUAUAUAUAUAUUUAUUAUCUAUAUUGUUCUUAAUUUUUUUAAAGUGAAAUAUAUAUAUAUAUAUAUAUUAGUGGUGGGAGGCGUUUUGAGUGGCUCCCAAAAAAGAAUGAUAACAACGAAAAGAAGCUCCCAAGAAAUGUGUAAGCCUUAUUGUGUUGUUUAUCAUUGUUAUUUAUCUAGUUUUCCUUUGAAUUUUUAAGUAUUUAUAAAAGCCUAUAUAUAUAUAUAGAUUUUUGGUGUUAAAUUUUGGGUAUAGGAGCUUUGGGAUUUGUAAGGGUUUAUAUUGUGUUGUAAUGUGUUUAAUUUUGUGCGAUAUAUUGGUUGUGUGUGCCUGAAAUUCUUUUACCCCUUAUCUUUUAUAUUUCCUAUGUCAUUUGUUGGAUGGUUAUGCAAUGGUUUUAUUGAUUUACAUCAGCAUGUACUAGAGAGGGAAAAGCCUCAUGAAAGAAGCCAAAUUAUAAGCAAGUUGUCAGGACAUAUUGUACAACUGAGCCAACAUAAAUUUGCAUCAAACGUUAUUAAGAAAUGUUUGGAGUAUGGUGGCCCCACUGAACGAGAACUAUUAAUUGGGGAGAUUUUUGGGCAUAAUGAAGGAACUGAUAAUUUAUUGGCCGAAGGUUUCAUCGGCACUUUUCUUCAAUUAUAACACCUCGAUGGGACUGUCAUAUCGGGUUUUGGUAGAUACCAACUUCAUCAAUUUCUCUAUCCAGAAUAAACUGGACUUGGAGAAGGGAAUGAUGGAUUGCCUAUAUGCAAAAUGUGAGUUUAGAAUCACUGGUUUCUUCAAUUUAAUGUGAAUAUUAAUUUGCUGCAAGAAUUGUUGUGCCGUGUUGAUGAGGUAUCCUAAGUUCAACAUAGUUGUUAAUGUCGUUUUAUAACAAGCAUUGAGUGCCAUGUAUCAUUGGCAAACACUUAAAUAUGUGUUGGUUGCUUAAUGAUAUUUAUCAAAAUAUUACUUUUGGUUGUGUGGAUGUCCAUGAGAAUGCUUAAGGAAUAAAAUGAGGAUCUUUUUUUAAA
This is a long non-coding RNA of Quercus robur (English oak), 3168 nucleotides long. RefSeq lists it as uncharacterized. Lineage: Eukaryota; Viridiplantae; Streptophyta; Magnoliopsida; Fagales; Fagaceae. The transcript has 3 exons. The record is from RefSeq and is a predicted model, not a curated record.